This 1010-nucleotide ribosomal RNA is filed under the name Rhizophagus cf. irregularis MUCL 46240. Its description in RNAcentral is "eukaryotic LSU rRNA". It matches the Rfam family "Eukaryotic large subunit ribosomal RNA", at positions 1 to 866 of the family's 3401-position model. Lineage: Eukaryota; Fungi; Glomeromycota; Glomeromycetes; Glomerales; Glomeraceae. The record is from RNAcentral.
GACCUCAAAUCAGGUAGGAACACCCGCUGAACUUAAGCAUAUCAAUAAGCGGAGGAAAAGAAAAUAACAAUGAUUCCCCUAGUAACUGCGAGUGAAGAGGGACAAGCUCAAAUUUUAAAUCUAUCGGGUUUUACCUGAUCGAGUUGUAAUUUGAAGAAGCGUUUUCUGCGUAUUUGGUCAGCCUAAGUCCUAUUGAAUGAGGCAUCAUGGAGGGUGAUAAUCCCGUCCGGUUGAUCAUUGCGUUUUACGAUACGCUUUCUAAGAGUCAAGUUGUUUGGGAUUGCAGCUUAAAAUGGGAGGUAAAUUUCUCCUAAGGCUAAAUAACGGCGAGAGACCGAUAGCGAACAAGUACCGUGAGGGAAAGAUGAAAAGAACUUUGAAAAGAGAGUUAAACAGUACGUGAAAUUGUUGAAAGGGAAACGAUUGAAGCCAGUCGUACCUUCGGGUAAUCAGCCUUUCGGGUGCGAUUCUGUGGAGUGUGAGGAGCUUAAACACCUUCAUGUUUUGCAUAUUCGUACUCUUGGGUGUACUUGCCCGUGUGGUUGGUUAACAUCAAUUUUGGUGGUCAUAAAAUGACUGGGGGAAUGUAGCUUCGAUCUUGUAUUGAAGUGUUAUAGCCUUCGGUAGAUGUGAUGAUCGAGAUUGAGGAUUGCAACGGAUACCCUUUGGGGCUACCUGUCUGAUCUCUGAUCGUUGCUUUGGUGCCGAAAGCUUGCUUACGGUUAUCAAAGUCGAUGGUCAAUAGGUUAGAACGGGUUAAAUUCGUUAAGGAUGUUGACGUAAUGGCUUUAAACGACCCGUCUUGAAACACGGACCAAGGAGUCUAACAUAUAUGCGAGUGUUAGGGUGAUUAAACCCUUACGCGUAAUGAAAGUAAUUUUGGUGGGAACACUUUUGUGCACCAUCGACCGAUCAGGAUAUUUUUUGAUAGAUUUGAGUAAGAGCAUAUCUGCUAGGACCCGAAAGAUGGUGAACUAUGCCUGAAUAGGGUGAAGCCAGAGGAAACUCUG